GCCUUCGUGGUGUAAUGGUCAGCACACUCGACGCGUAUUCGAGAGGUAUGUGGUUCGAAUCCCGGUGAGGGCA
This is a non-coding RNA of Stegodyphus mimosarum, 73 nucleotides long. NCBI's taxonomy places the organism in Eukaryota, Metazoa, Arthropoda, Arachnida, Araneae, Eresidae. The record is from Rfam.